This 440-nucleotide ribosomal RNA is filed under the name uncultured bacterium. RNAcentral's name for it is "partial 16S ribosomal RNA". It matches the Rfam family "Bacterial small subunit ribosomal RNA", at positions 338 to 795 of the family's 1533-position model. The record is from RNAcentral.
CCUACGGGUGGCAGCAGUGGGGAAUAUUGCACAAUGGGGGAAACCCUGAUGCAGCGACGCCGCGUGAGUGAAGAAGUACCUCGGUACGUAAAGCUCUAUCAGUAGGGAAGAAAAUGACGGUACCUGUCUAAGUAGCCCCGGCUAAAGCCGUCCCAGCAGCCGCGGUCAUACGGAGGGGGCAAGCGUUCUCCGGAUUUACUGGGUGUAAAGGGAGCGUAGACGGCAGCACAAGUCUGGAGUGAAAUCCCGGGGCUUAACCCCGGAACUGCUUUGGAAACUGUGCGGCUGGAGUGCAGGAGAGGUAGGCGGAAUUCCUGGUGUAGCGGUGAAAUGCGUAGAUAUUAGGAGGAACACCGGUGGCGAAGGCGGCUUACUGGACUGUAACUGACGUUGAGGCUCGAAAGCGUGGGGAGCAAACAGGAUUAGAUACCCUGGUAGUC